ACAGUUCCUCCCUCAAACAGUCAAAAAUUUAUCAUCUGUAAAAGAGGAACAGAUCUUGCGAUUCCACAUGCACUACAAGCCACAUAACCUACCACGGAGAUUCUGACCUAUUUUCUCUUAUCUGGGAAUCAUUAAUACCAUGUGCAGACAAGAAGCAUCUGAUCAGAGACCGGUGCUAGAAUUCUAGCCAAAGGCCAUAUCAUGUCUCAAAGUUUUGUGGAAUAAAAUGGCUCUAGAAGAGGUGGUCCUUA
Molecule: long non-coding RNA, 251 nt
Filed under: Dromaius novaehollandiae (emu)
Lineage: Eukaryota; Metazoa; Chordata; Aves; Casuariiformes; Dromaiidae
Description: lncRNA (ENSDNVG00000012720.1)
Source: RNAcentral